RNAcentral lists this long non-coding RNA (867 nucleotides) under Sorghum bicolor (sorghum). Its description in RNAcentral is "long non-coding RNA (SBIC_LNC016422)". Lineage: Eukaryota; Viridiplantae; Streptophyta; Magnoliopsida; Poales; Poaceae. The record is from RNAcentral.
GUGUUAAAGGGGGAGCUUUAGCCCCGGUUCCCCGGACUGGGACUAAAGGGUGGGCCUUUAGUCCCAGAAGGGCAGCACCGGCUCGGGAACCGGGGCAAGAGGCCCUUCCCGACCGGUGCUAAUGCCCCAAGAUGCAGCAAACUUUACUAAUUGUAUAGUAUAUAUGUGGUAUAGUAUAUAUGUGCACACAAUUUGACUCAUGGUAAGCAAACUUUAUAUUUUUUUUAUUUUUUUAUUAAAAUCGUUGGCUGAUUAGUAGAAUGUACCGUUGACUGAUUUGUUGUGAGAGAAAAAUACUGCUCAAUGGCUAAUAGAUUCGGCUAAUAAGCUUAAGCAAACAAGGCUUGAGCUUAUCAGCCGAAUCUGCCAGUUAAGUCAGCCAUUCAGCCAUUCAACGGUACUUUCAACUAUAGCUAAUAUACAGUUAAGUCAGACCAAUUAUGAUGGGUACUUUUCUGCAACAAAGCUUUCAAUAGAAAGGAACAUUUUCAGAAUUUUGUUCCUUGCUAUCAUGUAAAAUAUCUUUUAUUUGUCGAACAUAACCAUCGGCCUAUGUGGGUAGACUAGAACUUGAUUAGUCCUAGCUAAAAAUUAGUCAACUAAAGUUUCGAUAGCUAAAAUUGAGAGGUGUUAGGAUCCUAGGUUGUUAUAUGCAAUGUUUGGAUCUAGAAUGUCCUUCUAUUUUCUCUCUCCUCACCCAUCUCUUCUUUUAGUCCUUACCCAUCUCCAUCUCUCUCUCUCUCCCUCUCUCACCAUCCUUGGCCAUGCUGUCGUUGACGUUCCCUUACCGAGGCAAGGUCAUAAGAUGAGGUUAGCUAUGGUGAAAGCGGGCUAUGGUAGGGAUGAGAGCAUGGGACCUAAACGGGC